This 440-nucleotide long non-coding RNA is filed under the name Fukomys damarensis (Damara mole-rat). RNAcentral's name for it is "lncRNA (ENSFDAG00000030746.1)". Lineage: Eukaryota; Metazoa; Chordata; Mammalia; Rodentia; Bathyergidae. The record is from RNAcentral.
CGCAGCUGUUCCAGGGUGACAGAGAGAUGCCAACCCUGGACCAGUGCACUGGGCUUGGGCAUUGGGUGGAUCUCAAGGGUGUGAGGCGGCUUUCUCUGGAGCAGAGGCUGGAGGAUAUGGUGGAAUUUCUUUGCAGUUUGCCUGGAGCUGAGCCUGGAAGCUGGAAGGAUCCAGGAAGGGUUGCAAACGUCCAGGGAGAGCAGCCUCCCCUCUCCAAGCCCAGGUGUGUAAACAGAGAGCAGUGGGACCACGCUCUGUCUCAGAAUUUCAUUUUCUGUUUGUUUUGUUCUUUGGUGUUUGGAGACAGCAUCUCACUAUGCAGUCCACGUUGGUCUUCAACUCAUUAUAUAGCCCAAGAUAGCCUCAAAAUCAUGGAGAUCUCCCUGGCUCAGCCUCCCUCAUUCUGGUAUUCCAGCUGGGCUAUAGACUUCUUCUUGUAG